RNAcentral lists this non-coding RNA (810 nucleotides) under Parastagonospora nodorum SN15. RNAcentral describes it as "Phaeosphaeria nodorum SN15 Eukaryotic large subunit ribosomal RNA". It matches the Rfam family "Eukaryotic large subunit ribosomal RNA", at positions 2582 to 3401 of the family's 3401-position model. The record is from Rfam by way of RNAcentral. Lineage: Eukaryota; Fungi; Ascomycota; Dothideomycetes; Pleosporales; Phaeosphaeriaceae.
UAAGCUGAUCUGAGUUAAAGAUAUUAUUAGGUAGAGAGUUUAGCUAGUAGCAGUAUAUCUAUUAAACUAUAACGCAGGUGUUCUAAGAGGGACUUAUAGAGAACAGAAAUCUCUAGUAGAGCAAAAGAGCAAAAGUCUUCUUAAUUUUAAUCUUUUAGUAUAAAUAUAAACUAUGAAAGUAUAGCCUAUUAAUCCUUUAGUCUCUUAAAAUUUAAGGCUAGAGGUGCUAGAAAAGUUACUAUAGAGAUAACUAGCUUAUAGUAGCUAAGCGUUUAUAGCAACGUUACUUUUUAAUUCUUUAAUAUUAGCUCUUCUUAUUAUACUAAAGUAGAAUUUAGUAAGCGUUAGAUUAUUUACUUACUAAUAAGGAAUAUAAGCUAAGUUUAGACUAUUAUAAGAUAGGUUAGUUUUACUCUACUAAUAACCUUACCUUAAUAGUAAUACUGCUUAGUAUAAGAGAAACUGCAGUUUUAGAUAAUUAGUUUUUGCAGCUAUCUAACUAGGCAUUGCUGCGAAGCUACUAUCUACUAGAUUAUAGCUAAACGCCUCUAAGUUAGAAUCUAUGCUAGAAUAGAGUAAUUUCUGCCUGCACUAGUUAGAUAUAAAUAGGCCUUUAGCCUAGAACCUUAUUAGAUUAGCGUUAGCAGUCUUAUUGAAAUUAGAGCUGCUAGCUAGUGUAUUGCAAUUAUAUAGUGCGCAGGAUUAAAUCCUUUGCAGAUAACUUAGUUAUCUAGCUAGGUUAUAUAAGUAGUUAAGUAGCCUUAUUGUUAUAAGCUACUAAGUCGUAAGCCUAAUGCUAGCUUAGUUAAA